Syzygium oleosum is the source of this 792-nucleotide long non-coding RNA. RefSeq lists it as uncharacterized. The transcript has 2 exons. The record is from RefSeq and is a predicted model, not a curated record. Lineage: Eukaryota; Viridiplantae; Streptophyta; Magnoliopsida; Myrtales; Myrtaceae.
UGGACUUCAAAUUCUCAAUGUAAGCACUUAUUUUUUCUCUUCGCAAUACUAAUCUCACCAAAUAUUUAACCUACAUCUUACAUAUGAAUUACUUUAUAGCCUGGAACUAAAGGUCAAAGAAUCAUUUCCGUGUCAAUGACAGCCAACAAGAAUAUCACAAUAAUUCCCAGAAGAAGAGUUGCAAAAUCAUUACAUCUGAGACACUAUGGUAAGGGAUUCAAUCAUAGUAACGAAGAAAGGGAGAGCACCAGCGUUUUUAGAAGAGCUUGAAGAGAUGCCUAUUGUAGGACCAAAUUCAACAGUAACAAGUUCAUCUACCCAAUGAAGCAUUAUCAAAAGCUGUGUCGGGAGUGCUACACCAGCAAGGCCAUCAUCUCGACUGAGGUCCAAGAUGAGCUCCAAUAAAGCAUCUCAAUCAUCAAUUGGACCAUUGAGUUCAUCUCCUAUAACUAUGGAUACCCAUGACAUUGUUGGAAAUGGUGAUGAAGCUGGAGCAACAAGGUCGUCUCCUCAACCGAAUGCCACGUUCAAGGACAAGAAAGGGACUCCACCAAGGACCACCAACAAGAACAAGCAGGAAAAUGAAGUUGAAGGAUGCAGAAGGAUGAGCCUAAGCUGAACGCUUACUGCAUUUUGAAUUUUUUUUGGGAUGUGUUGCUACGAUAUGAAGUUUAAGGCUUCUCUAGGUUGGCUGGUGUUUUUAUAUUUUAGUUAACCGGCGUCUUUAAGUUGACUGGUGCUUGUUAGCAGAUUAGUGUGAUCCGCUAUUUUGAAUUACUGGAUUCUGCUAGA